AGGGCCGCGGUAAUUUGACUGUGCGAAGGUAGCAUAAUCAUUAGUCUUUUAAUUGAAGACUUGUAUGAAGGGUCGGAUGAGGUGCUGGCUGUCUUUUUUUUAUUGUUUUGAAUUUAACUUUUAAGUGAAAAGGCUUAAAUUUAGUGAAGUGACGAUAAGACCCUAUAAAACUUUAUAUGUUUUUAUUUUCAUUAAGAAUAUAUAAGUUGGUUUUAAUAUGGACAUAUUUCGUUGGGGAAACGUUGAUAUAAUUAUAAUUGUUUAUAAUAAUAUAAUAGUUGUUGUUAGUUUGUGAUCCUUUAUUAUGGAUUAAAAGUUUAAGUUACUUUAGGGAUAACAGCGUAAUUUUCUUUGAGAGUUCUUAUCGACAAGAGUAGUUGCGACCUCGAUGUUGAAUUAAAAUUUCAGGUUGGUGUAGUCGCUUUCCUAGUGGGUCUGUUCGACCUUUAAAAUUUU
Molecule: ribosomal RNA, 456 nt
Filed under: Onycocaris stradbrokei
Lineage: Eukaryota; Metazoa; Arthropoda; Malacostraca; Decapoda; Palaemonidae
Description: partial large subunit ribosomal RNA
Rfam family: Bacterial large subunit ribosomal RNA
Source: RNAcentral